UUGAACAUCAGACUUGAUGUUUUGAGCUCUUCAGUUUUGGAACUCGGAUUUGCUUUCCUUGCUCCUGAGCCUGUAGCCAGCCUGUUGUGGGACCUUGUGAUCAUAGAUCUGCACCACUAUGGCCAUCACCCUGCCAAGAAACUGCAAGAUGGUUUGACAAAUUAAUUUAAAGACAGAUGUUAAUAUUUUAUAUUGAAUAUUUCAAAGAAAUGAUCAAAGAUUAUUUGUAGGAAGAAAACUUAUACUUGAGGAACUUCAUCUGAGAACCUCCCCUGGAGAGCUCAGCUUUGUCUAGACUCUGGAUGACAUAAUUUUGGACUUUGGGC
RNAcentral lists this long non-coding RNA (326 nucleotides) under Callithrix jacchus (white-tufted-ear marmoset). Its description in RNAcentral is "lncRNA (ENSCJAG00000074193.1)". The record is from RNAcentral. Lineage: Eukaryota; Metazoa; Chordata; Mammalia; Primates; Cebidae.